UGUUAAAAAAUUUCAUUCAUUUUCACUGCUAAAAAUUGACGUGGCUGACGAAAUAACCAUAUAGUUACACAUGUUGUGCCACGUAUAGCUCAUGCUGAUGUACGUGGACCAACUUUUAAAAAUAAAAUUGAUGAAAUUUUUAACG
Non-coding RNA from Gossypium raimondii (Peruvian cotton), 145 nucleotides. NCBI's taxonomy places the organism in Eukaryota, Viridiplantae, Streptophyta, Magnoliopsida, Malvales, Malvaceae. The record is from Rfam.